This is a non-coding RNA of Xyrichtys novacula (pearly razorfish), 9980 nucleotides long. Lineage: Eukaryota; Metazoa; Chordata; Actinopteri; Labriformes; Labridae. The record is from the annotation of a GenBank genome assembly.
AGACCACCCUCUAAAAACGGAGUUUUUCCUUUGACACAGAAGACUCUGAUAAACAUUCAUUUUCUGUAUUUCAGGAUGAAUUUUGGGUCUCAUCAGGCUGUAACCCUUUUAGUGUUGAUGAUUAUGUUGGAUUAUCCUUAUUUUUUCAGAGCUGAGAGUGGAAAAACUUCGGUUGAAGACAAUUCAUGUUCAGAUGUCCUGAAGGGUGAAAUCAUGUCGAACUCGGUCAGAGGACUUUGUUUAAAGCAGCUACAGAGGGAACAACAGGAGGGUGAAAUAUUAACACAUGAUCACUUCAGACUUUUCAGUCUUUGACUUUCUGUCCAUGUUUGCAGACUGAGAGGUUUCUAAACAUUAUGGUGGAAAGUGUGUUAAAUAACCGUUAUCUGGAGAACAGGAUGUGGCGGUUAGGGAUGUGAGUGUCUGCAUGUCUUUAUUACACUUUCACUUUCAAUAUGAGCACAAGAACAGCCCUGAUAGAGUGUUUCUCUUUUGGUUAGCAGUCAUUUUGCUGCAGUUCUCCUCUUUAAAGCGUCUCAAAACUGUGAUUUCUUCUGCAGCUCCUGGACUGAUAAACUGCAGAAACUCUGAGUUGUGUUUGUUGAUGGAAGAUGUUUCUGUGCUCAGAUGAAUAAACGACAGAGACACACAGAAACUCUGGAUGAAAACCUUCAGGAGCCCCCCAGUCAGACUGUCCCCCCCUGUUCUGUCUUUCCUGUUUUUCUAACAGGUCUGUGAUUCUUCUCUCUCUCAGCCCGGGUUUGUCGGGGAUUUCUCUUUGCCUGAUAUGAAACUUUCCCUUUCAGUCAGUUUCACCUGCUGCUGCCCUCCACACUCUCUCAGUGUCCUCAGUGUCCUGAAUCAGUUCACAAACAUUUAUUGAGUGUUACACUCAAUAAAUGUUUGUGAACUGAGGAGACGAACUGUUGAAGCUUUGAAGGUGGAAUUCUUUCCCAUUCUUGCUUGAUGUACAGCUUCAGUUGCUCAACAGUCUGGGGUCUCUGUUGUCCUAUUUUACGCUUCAUAAUGCUCCACACAUUUUCAAUGGGAGACAGGUCUGGACUGCAGGCAGGCCAGUCGAGUACCCGCACUCUUUAACUACAAAGCCACGCUGUUGUAACAUGUGCAGAAUGUCCGUCCAUGAAAAAGACGUUGCUUGGAUGUAGGGCUGAAACGAUUACUCGAGUAACUCGAUUAAUAAAAUUCCUCGAGGCAAAUUAUAUGCCUCGAGGAAUCGUUUAAAUCCGGAACCAUGUGCAGCGCACGGUGUUUGACACGGAUGGUUAUUUCUGUUGCGCAGCAGCGUGCUCUUUCCGCUCCUUCCGCUGCCGCGCGUUUCAUAGACAUAAUAAAAGGGUAGACCCCGCUGGGGGUGCUGCGCAGCGAGAAAUGCGGCCGCCAUCUUGGUCAGGUCAAGCUUCCCAUACGCUCCGGUCAAUCAUAUUCAUUCAUUCAGCGAUGCCGGAGCACUGUGCGGCGUAUUCCUGUGCCAACAGGCGGACAGCAGAGAACAGGGCUCAAGAAAUAACUUUUCACAGUUAUGAUUAAACAUUUUUUAAACAUUACACUUGACUGUAGAGUCAUUUGUAGGCCAAAGAGGAAGACUAUCGGUCAACUCCAAAAAGGAAACAGCAUUUGCGAACAGCUGGCUUAUUCACAAUAAUAGCAACUUUGGUCGAUUAUCAACAGAUUUGCAUUAGAUUGAAAAACUUUUGUUUGAGAGAGGUUCUAAGAAACGUUAAGAAAUAAAAUAGAAAGAAAAAGGAAGAAAGUGAGCUCUGUUUUAUUAUCUGUUUUAUUAAAGAUUUCUUUGUGGUGAUCUCCUGUUUCAUUUUGAAGAUUUCCUAAGGACAAAAACUUGAGGAAGAAGUGGGAGAUUGCUGUUAGAGGGAGAAAUUCGCAGCAAGUGAUUCCUCUGUGCUGUGUAGCCAACAAGCAAAUUGAUAUGUAGUUUAGAUGCUGUCCUGUCAUGCUGUUCUUGUGUUUAAAUCUUUUUGAUAUGUAGGCUAUAUAUUUGUGUGUAUUUUCCAGUUAUUAAAAUAGUGCUCCUAUAUGACAUUAUUUGUGUGUGUCUACAAAUGGAUAAAUAAAAUUAAACUAUAUAAAAAAUUAUAAUCAAAUCAAUAUAUAUUGAAUUGGCCUAUUAAAACCGCCAGUUAUUAAUAAUUAUUGAGACAUAGCAGGAACCUAGCUCUAAACCUAAAUAUAUCCUUGAUUAAUUGUUAUACUAUAAUACAGCCACUGCUGCCAUGUUCUAAAAUAUCAUUUUAUUCAUUCUGAGUAUUUGAAAACGCCAAAAAAAAAUAUGGCCUCUAUCAUGCCUCUUUGAAUGGCGUUUGCAGAGAAGAAAAUUACGUAGUAUUGAGCGAACUAUGAUUCAUUAAUGCGCUCAGACUUCAUUCCGCCGGUUAAACAGCGGUGCAGAGUGAGGCGGAUGACCGGACCAAGAUGGCGGCCGCAUUUCUCGACAGCGCCCAUUCGUGGUAGCGGCCGAUGCGGGGUCUAUCUUUUAUUAUGUCUAUGGCGCGUUUGGUUCAAUCAUGGAGGGAAACGAGGACAGACAGAGAGAGGAAGAAAGAGAUGACACGCAGAGGAAACGGCAGAAAGUGUCUAAAGUGUGGGACCAUUACACACUGAAAAGGAAAGAAAAUGCCGUGCAGUGCGUUCACUGUAAGGCGGAGUUGGCGUUUCACAACAGCACGUCGUCAAUGCUGCAGCACCUUAAAAGAAAACACCCGGUUCAUGCAUUAAGUCCGCUCUGAGGCAAACGUGAUUCAAUGCAAAGUAUUACAGUGAGAGCAAAACAUUUCUUAUCCGAUUACUCGAUUACUCGACAGAUUAAUCGAUAGAGUACUCGAUUACUAAAAUAAUCGAUAGCUGCAGCCCUACUUGGAUGGCAGCAUGUUGCUCUAAAACCUGUGUGUACCUUUCAGCAUUAAUGUUGCUUUCAGAGAUGUGUAAGUUACCCAUGCCUUGGGCACUAAUGCACCCCCAAACCAUCACAGACGCUGGCUUUUGAACUCUGCGUCUACAACAGUCCGGAUGGUUCUUUUCUGCUUUGGCCCGAAUGACACGACGUCCACUGUUUCCAAAAACGAUCUGAAAUGUGGACUCGUCAGACCACAGAACACUUUUCCACUUUGCAUCAGUCCAUCUUACAUGAGCUCGGGCCCAGAGAAGCCAGCGGCGUUUCUGGAUGUUGUUGAUAAAUGGCUUUGGCUUUGCGUAGUAGAGUUUUAACUUACAGAUGUAGAGAUGAACUGUAUUUACUGACAGUGGUUUUCUGAAGUGUUCCUGAGCCCAUGUGGUCAUAUCCUUUACACAAUGAUGUCAGUUUUUGAUACAGUGCCACCUGAGGGGUCGAAGGUCACGGGCAUUCAAAGUUGGUUUCCGGCCGUGUCGCUUAUGUGCAGUGAUUUCUCCAGAUUCUCUGAACCUUUUGAUGAUAUUAUGGACUGUAGUUGAAAUCUCUAAAUUCUUUACAAUUGUACUUUGAGAAACGUUGUUCUUAAACUGUUCGACUAUUUGCUCACGCAGUUGUUCACAAAGUGGUGAACCUCGCCCCAUCCUUGCUUGUGAAUGACUGAGAAUUUUUGGCGAAGCUGCUUUUAUACCCAAUCAUGACACCCACCUGUUCCCUAUUAGCCUGCUCACCUGUGGGAUGGUCCAAACAGGUGUUUGAUGAGCAUUCCUCAAAUUUCUCACCUGUCCCGACUUCUUUGUCACGUGUUGCUGCCAUCAGAUUCUGUAUUAAAUUGAAUAUAGGUUAGAAAUCAUUUGCAAAUCGUUGCUGUAAGAAAAAUUGUAUGUGUAUGCUAUCACGUGUAUUUUAUCAUAAUGUAAGUAUUUUACUCAUCAUUUACUGAAAAUCACUUGGUGUGAAUGCUUGCAGAAUCAUAUCUGUUUCUUUUUAAUGAGCAUGGGAAAGGAGAAGUAUGGCCUUAGAGUUGGGACUUAUACUUUUCCACUUUUAUGAAUCACCUCUCCCAGAUCUGUCUCCCAAAUAGUUUUAAAGGUCCCCUAUUAUGAAAGAUCCACUUUUGGGGUGGUUUUCUACCAAUAAUAUGCAUACCGGACAUGAAAAAAUUUCAUUCUCUCCCACUCUUGCUUUCCCCUCCUUUCUGAAAACAUGAGCGCAAACGGGCGGAUGGAAAAGCUGUGCGGUUAUGAUGAACUUAAACCCGAUGCUGUGCAAAAAAUAAAAAUGCAUCAAAGUUAAUUUUGUUGCUUAUAUUUGACAUACCCAAGGGUGUGAUAGCAUGUAAAAAAUCUUCAGCCUCUCAUUACUUUUUAUAUUGAAAUUCUGUCAUUUUGUGUGAUUUUUUCUCUUUCCAUCAAAUCAGUGACAUCGCCUCUUAAUUUGGCAUUUAAUUUGGCAUUUAAGGGUUAAAAUUCAUAAUGAAAUAAUAAUAAAAAAUGUUAUGAUAAGGACUGAGCUUUGAAUAGAUUUGAGCAAAAAAAAUUGUCUGGUAUGUUUUUAUAGCAGCUAAAGUAAGUGACCCAAAACAGCCACAACGCAACCAAAGGUAGUAAAUCUGUAAACAGUGCAUUUAAAAAUUUUGAAAGAGAAAAUUAAAAAUAUACGUCAAAUUAAACUUCUUUACCAAAAAUGAUUUCACUCUCUAAAAAAUAGCGAGUAUUUUGGUCAAAAAAGUGAGUAUUUUGCCCCCUACUGGCUAAAAAAAGCCACAAGGUGACACAAGGGUUAACAAACUUCUGAAAAUAAACAUUCAUAGAAAUGGAGGCAUGAUCCAAAACAACAAUUGAGUCAUAUUUGCAGCCAGAAAUGUUGGAUAACAAUUUAUUAUUCACUAGAAAAAAAAUCAAUUCAAGUGUAAGUAUGAUGAAUAUGAAAGAAAAAAAAGAGUAUUCCCUUUUAUCUGGAUCGAAAAAACGCCAAGGGUUAACAACAUUAACCUUGUUCAUAAAGGCUUGAAUCACUUUGGUCGACUUGGAUUGGGAAGAAUGGUUUAAGUAUGGAUUAAUCCAGCAGUUGAAGUCUCCACCUAAGAUUAAAUCAUACAUGGACAAGUCAGGUAGCAUUGAGAAAACCUGUCUAAAAAAGACUCAUCAUCCCAGUUGGGGUCAUAAAAAUGUGUCCUAUGACCUGCAAUAAACCUGCCACCAGAAUCAGACAUUGUCUCAAUAUAAACAAAAGGAAUAUCAAAAGGAUUUGGCUCCCCCCUGUGGACCGAAGCAGAGAGAGCAUCAAAGAUAACAAAAGGUAAAAGGAGGAGAGGAGGAAAUAAGGAAGGAGGGAAGGAGAAAACAAAAGAGAGGGGAAGGAAACAAAAGAAGGGAGGAUGAAAUAAGGGAGGAGAAAGGAGGAAUAGAGGUAGUUCAGGCAGGUCGCUGAGUCAAGCUGAUCUUAAACCAGCCCUCAGUUAGCUUACAGCUCAGGUGAUCGCCCUCUACACAUCCUAUUGGCUAAUGUCAAAAUGGCGCCCUAUUUAAACUGCUUCUCCUGUCUACUCUGCCUGCUGCAAUUCUGCCUUUUUGCUUUUUCCUACCUUGCUCUUCAUCAUGUCGAUCCCUGCCCACGACAAGGAUCCACGGCAGAUUGACUGCUUUCUGAAACGCAGCACCAGCAUGUGAGGUCGAGGAAGCCAGUCCUUGCAAUGACAGAUGCGUUUCCUUCUGCACGAGCUCUCCUCUGGCAAGUAAAACUUUUAUUUCUCCCAGCUUCAUGAAGUCCAGGCUCCUAGAAGUCCUUUAUAGAUAACAUCACAGCUCCCGGUGGUGCCUCACAUCAAUAUCCACAUAGAGCCCCCACUUGCAGUUCUCUCUUCCUCCUCUGUAUCCAGAAAAGCGACCGAGAAAAGAAAACGCUGUUCCCGCCGCGUCACGGCAGUUCAGCUUCAGCCGCCGCGUCAUCGCCGCCGCCCGCAGAGCGCGAGGCCCAACCCCAGCCACCAGAGCCGCGGACGUGGACGACAAUCCCAUCCUGAAAGCACUAUCCAGCAUCCAGCCAUCGCUCGCCCACAUGUCUUCGAGGAUCGAAGCCCCAGAAUCCGGUUCGGCACGUGCUAAGCUGUCCUCCUUCAUCCCAGCUGUCACCUUCCUUCACCGCGCUGAACGAUGACGUCACUCCAGCGACAACCGACGACAGCGUCACGAUCCCGCCAAAGACCCUGGGAAGUGCAGUCCCCGUCUCCAUCGGCGUCCCAUUCUUCCCUCCCGCGGCUGCAAUUACACCGAAUCUGCGGAGCCAAAUCCUCGAAGGUACCGACAUUAAUCUUGUAAAGAAUCUUGCUGUGCUCCGACUACAAUGAUAGACGCAUUGUGGAUUGCGGAGAUGAGUCUGUGAUGCUUAAAUAUCGUGAUGCGCGUCUGUUUAAAUCUCCGACCUUAGCUGAAUUCAUGUAGCUUUCUGCGUAUUUGGAAAUGUCAUAUGUGAAGUGUUUUCAGCACGCAGAACUGAACUGGACACAUAUCUUGCCAUUAUUUCUGAUUCAGACAUGACUUAUGGAAGAAUAUUAUUCUAGGAAUCUCACAAAUCAUUUUCAGCAAAGCUGCUAAGUACAUUCAAAGAUUCAACCAGACUUGAUUAGUCCGUAGGCGACCUGGCUCAACUCGACUUAGCAUCAAGCUUUUUCUUGCUCAAGCUGUGGGUCUUCCUCUCACACCCAGAGUAAGCCAGGAAGCAGGUAUGCAGCGGUACACAGCAGUACGCUGUUAAAUAGAUAAAUGAUUAUUAAAUAAACAAAUAAAUAGAUUUUAUGUUCAAGAGAGGGAGAGAGAGAUGCAGCAGAUGAUGGUACUGUGGCAUCAGAGUCGGCGCCUCGCUAAAUGUGGGUAUACUCCUCUUGUUCAAAGCCUAUGGGCACAGUACAUGCAAGAACCUUAUCCUACAUUAACUAAGGUGACCAGACGUCCCCGAUUUCCGGGGACAGUCCCCGAAUUGGAUGACCUGUCCCUGGAAAAAGCUGUCCCCGAAAAUGGGUAAGGAAGCACAAGUAAGCAGUCCUGAACAACAGUUGUUACGGGAGUUAUUACAAGGCCGAAUGUCCCCUGGUUUCAUUACAGAAAUCUGGUCACCUUAAUAUUAACCCCUGCUCACACCUCCAAUCUGUGCCCUAAAACUGUGGCUACAGGCCAACCGCCAAGCUUUUUCUAAGCCUACAUCACUUCAAGGCCAAGUUACUGCAGGGACGGUUAUCUAAAAAACAGCACGCCCAAGAUGCACCCGCCUUGUAAAAAAGGAGAAUACAGCUGUCUACUCCGUCAAAUGUCCCUGAGCUGGGGAAGGCACUGGCAAAGCAUCCCAACCACUGUUUGUGAAUUAUUUGAUAACAGGACUGGUUCAGGGGUUCCUAGCAUAGUUGAUGGAGAGGAGGUAGAGAAGUAAGAGGACAUGCUCGAGAGGCAGUUCAUCUACCGGAAAGAGAACUUGGCAUAUUAAUUUUCCUUGCGCGUCAUGCCUCAGGGGCGGUCCUUUAUAUCUAGACUUUUCAACCUUGCCAAAUCAGUGGAGAAACUCCAUGAUAGAGUAAGUUUAGAUGAAGGUUGCAGAUCCAAACUGCGGUUUGGUCACUUCUGUGUAAAAAUGGAAAGGCAUCUCAUUCUCUUAUAGUGACUAUCAGGAAUCUUCUCCUGUGAUUUAAGCUAUUUAUAGUCACAGCACCAUAUGUUGGUUUUGGGGGGUUUUAAUAAUCAGUGGUUGCUGAUGUUUGGCCGAAUGAACUGUCUUCUCUGCCAAAAAAUGUGUCUUCAACUGCUUUAAUGUUUUAAGGGUAACCUAUACUACACAAGCUUUUGGAGGUGGGUAGGAUGCUUCAUAGUUUCUUGCUGCUGGCUGCUGCUCUGCUGUUGCCUGGUAUGGUUGUUCUGGGGGGCUUUUUUGCUGCUGUUUUCCCUGCCUCGGCUUCCAUGUGCUACAUGAAAGCUGAGAGGGUCGCCUUGUAUGGUGUUUUGGGGGAUUUCGAUUUAUUUAUCUUAAUCGUAUUUAUGUGCUGCUGCUUUCUCUGCCUUGGCUUUUCAUGUUUGCACAUGAAAGGGAGGGGAGGAACUGUCCCCUCUUGUAGCCGUGGCAUUCCAUGCAAGCGCAUGGAAGAGCAGAGAACUCUCAGAACAGAGAUAUGCCGCCAGUGUAAAAUAUGUUUGAUUGUAAUUAGUGCUGGGCGAUGGGACGAUAGAUAUCGUGGGCACGAUAGAAAAUGUCUAUCGUGCCAUUUUUAUUUUUAUCGUUUCGGGCGAUAGGCUGUAUUUUAUCCAUAGGGCUUGUGCCAUCAGAUGAUUCAUAGUAACAACAACAAUAAUUGCACAUUCAGUAAGUGUAUUUGGUGUCGAACGGGAAAGAAAACAAUAUUUUCUUGCAAAGAAAAGGAUGCGUUGACAUGUAGGCUCGCAUUUCUCUUUCGAUUUUGCGACAUGACGCCGCUUUACGUGCCCUCUUCGUGUCCAGCGUCUCCCGCCGUUGCGGGUUACCUGGGUUACACACGUGAGGGGAUCAUUGUAAGCAGUGCUUAAUUUGUGCCGGAGCAAGUCGGAGCGCGAUCCAGGACCUCUUUUGAUCGGAUCCGGGACCUAUUUCAGCCGCUCCGGCACCUGUUUCAUCUGCUCCGGGACCUUCCCUGUAGAGGAUGACAUUUUUCGGGAAUUCCUGUGGGUCACGUGAUUCCCGCAGGACUCCCACGGGAUGGGAGUCAUUUUUUAAUUAAUCCCUUGAUCGGGACGGGACGGGAAAAAAAGCAACGGGAGUGGGCAGGAGCGGGAACAACAUUAAAAGAUGAUCAUUUUCAGCCGUGUUUAACAACCAGAUGAACAGGUGCGUCCAUUUUUGUAGUCAUCUCUCAGUGAGAGCCAACACUCUUGACCGCGCUAGCAACACAAAAGAACUACAACAGUGGUUUGACUUCCUGUCAGCUGGGAGCGCGGCUGCGCAUUUCUACCCUUCAAGCCAGCAGCGAGGAAACGUAAUUUUGUGACACUCUGUAGUUUUUCAAUCAUUUCUGGAGUCGUGGCGAAUCAAAUCACCUGACCUGUCUGCCCCUGAUAGGCGAAUAAAGCGCUCUGAUUCAUGCUCGGGUCUUCCUACGUGCUUCAAGAGUAAAGUAAACAAUGAUGGAGGCAGAGAGCAGCUUUGGAGGAGAAACAUCUAGCAGUGUGAACAACCCCUUAAAGACCAACCUUUUUAAUAAAGCCUUUGGUUAGUUUUCCUCUAUGCUUUUACUACCUUGCCUCUUACAUUGCAACUCUAUAUUUUUUAUUUUUCUAAUUCUUUUUUUUAUGCCAAUCUGUGACUGUCAUUCUAUUGCUUUUUUAUUGUUGCUGCUCUUUUUUUACUGUGUACUGUAGCACUUUGAGAUUUUUGGUAAAUGUAAAGUGCAUUACAAAUUAAAUUUAUUAUUAUUAUUAUUAUUAUUAUUAUUAUUAUGGAGUGCUUUGGCUCACACUAUCAGCGUUUUCUGUGAGUGUUGCAUAACUUUGGGUGAGCACAGACAUGAACGCACUUCAGCCACGUAUUUAUUUAUUAAUUUUUCUAGUUUUAAGUGCUGGUCUUGUACUGGUACUAGUGCAGCUGUAUACACUUAAAUUUUUCAUAGAACUGAAAGCAUACCAUAGCUAUAUCGUGAUAUAUAUCGUUAUCGUGAUAUAAAAUGAUCCAUAUCGUGAUACACAUUUUUUUCCAUAUCGCCCAGCACUAAUUGUAAUAAAUAAAUUUUGACUAAAGUGAUCCUGAGUCGAAUAAAAAAAGAGAGGAGGAAAUAAGGAAAGAGAGGAGGACAUAGGGAGCAGAGGAGGACAAAAGGGAUCAGAGGAGGAAAUAAAAGAAGAGAGAAGGAAAUAAAAUAAGGGAGGAGAGGAGGACAUAAAAGAGAAGAGGAGGAAAUAAAAGAAGAAGUGUCAGACAGGGGAGUGUGUUCACCUGCAGUCAGGUUUGAGGAAAUAAAACCGUCUGAUGAAGACCAGACCCUCAGGAGAAAACAUGUCAUCAUAACAGAGACGGCAGCAGGAAACAGCGCUGUGACCGACUCAAA